RNAcentral lists this long non-coding RNA (644 nucleotides) under Fukomys damarensis (Damara mole-rat). RNAcentral's name for it is "lncRNA (ENSFDAG00000023228.1)". The record is from RNAcentral. Lineage: Eukaryota; Metazoa; Chordata; Mammalia; Rodentia; Bathyergidae.
CACCUCCUGUAAUUGUAGAAACCAAAGCUAACUUGUAUCAAUCUCAUGAUAUCUCAAUGUUUAGUACUAAAAUAUUUCUGUUUUUCUUUUCUUGAAAUGCAUAUGAUUCUAGUUUUAUGGAAUAUUAGAAAUCAAUAACAUUACCAAAACAUGUUAAGGAGGGCUGGAUACCUGAAAUGCUUAUGAGCCAAAAUGAAAAAUGGGAGGGAAGAAGGUGACAUGCAACUGACUUGCAGGUGAGAGAAUCAACCAAAGUCAAGUUCUUCAUCUCUCAGGCUUGCUCCCUGUGGAUUUGCACUGUCCUAUAAUCACAUGAGACUAAAUUUUUUGAUUAAUGAGAAGCUCUGGAUAUUGAAGCCCAAGGGCAACAGAGACAACGAAUAAACUACCUGUGGCUCUCGCACAGCCUUACCCACGUGGGGAGGCAGCAGCCCUGACCCACCUUAGAGGCCAGCAUUUCUGCACAGGAGCCAGGUGCUUCUCUAUCUUCCUGUGUUCUCAGAGAACAGAGCUUUCAUUUAUCUCCAUCACACCUAGCCAAGAUCUGAAUGUCCUUCCUCUGUGCCGGCACCCAGUGCCAAAGAUGAUUGUGGACAUCCAGACAGAGCAGAAUACCAUCAGUUACAAAGGCUGCCUCACCCAGA